Molecule: ribosomal RNA, 447 nt
Filed under: uncultured bacterium
Lineage: Bacteria
Description: partial 16S ribosomal RNA
Rfam family: Bacterial small subunit ribosomal RNA
Source: RNAcentral
AGCGAACGCUGGCGGCAGGCUUAACACAUGCAAGUCGAACGCCCCGCAAGGGGAGUGGCAGACGGGUGAGUAACACGUGGGAACGUACCCUUUGGUUCGGAAUAACUUGGGGAAACUCAAGCUAAUACCGGAUAAGCCCUUAUGGGGAAAGGUUUACUGCCGAAGGAUCGGCCCGCGUCUGAUUAGCUAGUUGGUGAGGUAAUGGCUCACCAAGGCGACGAUCAGUAGCUGGUCUGAGAGGAUGAUCAGCCACACUGGGACUGAGACACGGCCCAGACUCCUACGGGAGGCAGCAGUGGGGAAUAUUGGACAAUGGGGGCAACCCUGAUCCAGCCAUGCCGCGUGAGUGAUGAAGGCCUUAGGGUUGUAAAGCUCUUUUACCCGGGACGAUAAUGACUGUACCGGGAGAAUAAGCCCCGGCUAACUUCGUGCCAGCCGCCGCAGUAA